AGGGUGCAGGGCGGAUGCCUUGGCACUAGGAGCCGAUGAAGGACGUGAUAAGCUGCGAUAAGCUUCGGGGAGUUGCACGUAAACUUUGAUCCGAAGAUUUCCGAAUGAGGAAACUCACUUAGAGUAAUGUCUAAGUAUCAUUAAGUGAAUACAUAGCUUAAUGAGGGGAACUCAGGGAACUGAAACAUCUAAGUACCUGAAGGAAGAGAAAGAAAUUCGAUUCCGUAAGUAGCGGCGAGCGAACGCGGAUUAGCCCAAACCAAUAAAGUUUUCUUUAUUGGGGUUGCGGACAUAUCAUAACGAAGAGGUAUCGUAAUUGAAGAGGUUUGGAAAGACCCACCACAGAAGGUAAUAGUCCUGUAUGUUAAACGAGAAGACUUCAGAUAUGAUCCAGAGUACCACGGGACACGUGAAACCCUGUGGGAAGCAGGAGGGACCACCCUCCAAGGCUAAAUACUACCUAGUGACCGAUAGCGUAUAGUACCGUGAGGGAAAGGUGAAAAGAACCCCGGGAGGGGAGUGAAAUAGAACCUGAAACCCUGCACUUACAAGCUGUGGAAGCACAUUUCUUGUGUGACCGCGUACUUUUUGUAGAACGGGCCAACGAGUUACGUUAAGUAGCAAGGUUAAGCACUUAAGGUGCGGAGCCGUAGCGAAAGCGAGUUUUAACUGAGCGUUCAGUUACUUGACGUAGACCCGAAACCGGGCGACCUACCCAUGAGCAGGAUGAAGCGAAAGUAAAAUUUCGUGGAGGUCCGAACCCACGAGCGUUGAAAAGCUCGGGGAUGACUUGUGGGUAGCGGUGAAAUUCCAAUCGAGCCCGGAGAUAGCUGGUUCUCCCCGAAAUAGCUUUAGGGCUAGCCUCAAGGUGAGAGAUACGGAGGUAGAGCACUGAAUGUCCUAGGGGGUAUUGCACCUACCGAAGACUAUCAAACUCCGAAUGCCGUCAUCUUAUACUUGGGAGUCAGACUGUGGGUGAUAAGAUUCAUAGUCGAAAGGGCAACAGCCCAGAUCGUCAGCUAAGGUCCCUAAAUGUAAGUUAAGUGGUAAAGGAUGUGGGAUUGCACAGACAACCAGGAUGUUGGCUUAGAAGCAGCCACUCAUUCAAAGAGUGCGUAAUAGCUCACUGGUCGAGUGAUCCUGCGCCGAAGAUUUCCGGGGCUAAAACUUACUACCGAAGCUACGGCAUCAGUAAUGAUGGGUAGGGGAGCUUCCCAUACGGGUUGAAGCAUGACCGUAAGGACAUGUGGACAGUAUGGGAGUGAGAAUGUUGGCAUGAGUAGCGAGAUGUGGGUGAGAAUCCCACAGGCCGUAAACCCAAGGUUUCCAGGGGAAGGUUCGUCCGCCCUGGGUUAGUCGGGACCUAAGCUGAGGCCGAAAGGCGUAGGUGAUGGACAACAGGUUGAUAUUCCUGUACUACCGAUAACCGUUUGAGAGAAGGGAUGACACAGUAGGAUAAGCUAAGCACACUGUUGGUUAUGUGUGCCCAAGCAUUGAGGCAGUCAAAGUAGGCAAAUCCGCUUUGAUAAUGCUGGGAUGUGAUGGGGAGCGAAAUUUAGUAGCGAAGUAGCUGAUUUCACACUGUCAAGAAAAGUCUCUAUCGAGGUUAAAGGUACCCGUACCGCAAACCGACACAGGUGGGUGAGGAGAGUAUCCUAAGGCCAGCGAGAGAACUGUUGUUAAGGAACUCGGCAAAAUGACCCCGUAACUUAGGGAUAAGGGGUGCCACCAUCAGGUGGCCGCAGAGAAUAGGCCCAAGCGACUGUUUACCAAAAACAUAGGUUUCUGCUAAGUCGCAAGACGAUGUAUAGGAGCUGACGCCUGCCCGGUGCUGGAAGGUUAAGGGGAUCUGUUAGAGCAAUCGAAGCAGUGAACUUAAGCCCCAGUAAACGGCGGCCGUAACUAUAACGGUCCUAAGGUAGCGAAAUUCCUUGUCGGGUAAGUUCCGACCCGCACGAAAGGCGUAACGAUUUGGGCACUGUCUCAACAACAGACUCGGUGAAAUUGUAAUUCCGGUGAAGAUGCCGGAUACCUGCGACAGGACGGAAAGACCCCAUGGAGCUUUACUGUAGCUUGACAUUGGGUCUUGGUACUACAUGUACAGGAUAGGUGGGAGGCUUUGAAACCAGGACGCCAGUUUUGGCGGAGCCAUCCUUGGGAUACCACCCUUGUAGUACUGGGACUCUAACCAUAGGCCAUGAAUCUGGUCUUGGGACACUGUCAGGCGGGCAGUUUGACUGGGGCGGUCGCCUCCCAAAAGGUAACGGAGGCGCUCAAAGGUUCUCUCAGUACGGUCGGAAAUCGUACGUAGAGUGUAAAGGCAAAAGAGAGCUUGAUUGCAAGACAUACAGGUCGAGCAAGGAUGAAAAUCGGACUUAGUGAUCCGGUGGUUCUGCGUGGAAGGGCCAUCGCUCAACGGAUAAAAGCUACCCUGGGGAUAACAGGCUUAUCUCCCCCAAGAGUCCACAUCGACGGGGAGGUUUGGCACCUCGAUGUCGGCUCAUCACAUCCUGGGGCUGUAGUAGGUCCCAAGGGUUGGGCUGUUCGCCCAUUAAAGUGGUACGCGAGCUGGGUUCAGAACGUCGUGAGACAGUUCGGUCCCUAUCCGUCGCAGGCGUAGGAAAUUUGAGAAGACCUGUCCUUAGUACGAGAGGACCGGGAUGGACGUACCUCUGGUGUACCAGUUGU
This 2688-nucleotide ribosomal RNA is filed under the name Clostridioides difficile. RNAcentral describes it as "bacterial LSU rRNA". It matches the Rfam family "Bacterial large subunit ribosomal RNA". The record is from RNAcentral. Lineage: Bacteria; Bacillati; Bacillota; Clostridia; Peptostreptococcales; Peptostreptococcaceae.